AAAAAAACAGAACCAUUCGAAAACAGAGAAGGAAAGAAGAAAAGAAAGAAAAGAGAGAAAUAGGGUUUUUAAAGUUUGGGGUUUAAUUUGCUAACAAAGAACCUAAGACAUCAGCACCGAAAGGAAAGGAAAAAGUUAUCGAGGAGUAAUCGCGAAAUUUCGGUUAGUAGAAAUUAAGGUUCCGGCUCAGCAUUCAGGGUGAUCCCGACUCCAGUAUAAAAUUUGGUGAUGUAAUCUUUCUUUUGGUAAACUGGCAUGUACUUAAGUGUUAUAUUGGUCACUUGAAAGUGUCUUCUGUUUUUGGUUGAAAAUGAAUAUUUUGAAACUUGGUGUAAUGAA
This is a long non-coding RNA of Gossypium raimondii (Peruvian cotton), 339 nucleotides long. RefSeq lists it as uncharacterized. The record is from RefSeq and is a predicted model, not a curated record. The transcript has 3 exons. NCBI's taxonomy places the organism in Eukaryota, Viridiplantae, Streptophyta, Magnoliopsida, Malvales, Malvaceae.